This 485-nucleotide ribosomal RNA is filed under the name uncultured Desulfobulbus sp. RNAcentral's name for it is "bacterial SSU rRNA". It matches the Rfam family "Bacterial small subunit ribosomal RNA", at positions 901 to 1382 of the family's 1533-position model. The record is from RNAcentral. Lineage: Bacteria; Pseudomonadati; Thermodesulfobacteriota; Desulfobulbia; Desulfobulbales; Desulfobulbaceae.
UUAAAUGAAUUGACGGGGCCGCACAAGCGGUGGAGUAUGUGGUUUAAUUCGAUGCAACGCGAAGAACCUUACCUGGUCUUGACAUCCCGGAGACCCUUAGGAAACUAGGGGGUGCUUCCAUCUGGAAGAAUCUGGAGACAGGUGCUGCAUGGCUGUCGUCAGCUCGUGUCGUGAGAUGUUGGGUUAAGUCCCGCAACGAGCGCAACCCUUGCCUUUAGUUGCCAGCAGUUCGGCUGGGCACUCUAAAGGGACUGCCGGUGUUAAACCGGAGGAAGGUGGGGAUGACGUCAAGUCCUCAUGGCCUUUAUGACCAGGGCUACACACGUACUACAAUGGCCGAUACAAAGGGCAGCGACACUGCGAAGUGAAGCCAAUCCCGUAAAAUCGGUCUCAGUCCGGAUUGGAGUCUGCAACUCGACUCCAUGAAGUUGGAAUCGCUAGUAAUCGUGGAUCAGCAUGCCACGGUGAAUACGUUCCCGGGCCUU